AAACCGAGCACAAACAAGACGAAACAGACGAAACUUCUAACAUUUGUAGUCUGUGGGUUUAAUUUCACUUUUACACGCGACUUGUUAUCACAUCGCUCACUUUAACAUACUGACUGACUUUACAACAGUCACAUAAUUUGUCAGGUGCAGCUUUUUAAAGACGGCUCCUCUGUCUUCCUCACUCAGGUCGUUACUGUCGGAUGGAGAAUGGAGGAAAGACACAAGAAGAUCCUUCAGCGCAACAGGACCAACCUGGUGAGAGACUUGGACCCAUCGAACCUCUACGACGGCCUUCUUGAAAAGAGAGUUUUCACCCAGGACAUGAUCGAUGAGAUUAAGGGCUCUGGGACCAGACGGGACCAGGCCAGACAGUUGGUCCGGGACUUGGAGACCCGCGGGAGUCGAGCCUUUCCAUUGUUUCUGCUGUGCCUUCAGGAGACAGGGCAGCACAGUCUGGCGGAGCUCCUACAGAAUGGAGCUCCAACAGUUCAUCUACAGCCCGCGACACCCACCGAGGUUCUUCGGCCUGUUCUGCAGCCUCUCCCAGUUUCCUCUCCAAUGGAUGUUGACAAGCAAAGAAAAGAAGUCCCUGUCCAGCCAGUACAGAGACCCAGUACUACUCCCAGUCCAUCACCUGAAAGGGAGCACAUAAGACCAAGACCACCAGGCAGACAACGACGGGACAGUAUACAGAGCUAUAAAAUGGAUGCCAGCCCAUGUGGGCACUGCCUCAUCAUAAACAAUGUGGAGUUUGAACCUCAGAGUGAAUUGAGCAACCGAAAAGGCUCCAACAUCGACUGUGACAAGCUGGAGAGAAGAUUCAAGGCACUCAACUUUAUUGUGGAAGUCAAGGCAAACUUAAAACAAAGACAAAUCAAGCGUGAACUGUCAGCUCUGUCUAAGGAGGACCACUCACAAUAUGACUGCUGUGUGGUUAUCAUGCUGUCACAUGGGACUGAGGUGAGUCACAACCGGUUCCCUGGUGCUGUGUAUGGUGUGGAUGGACAGUCCGUCCCAGUUCAGCACAUCACAAACUACCUCAACGGCCAGCACUGCCCGUCUCUACAGGGCAAACCCAAACUUUUCUUCAUCCAGGCAUGUGGAGGAGGUGAAAGAGACACAGGGUUUGAGGUGUCACCGGAUGAGGUCAAACCGUCCGUCGGUGGAGCAGACGACCAGACGGACGCCAUUCCCAUGUCAUCCAGCAGCGACUCUCUGAGCAUGUCCGACGAACCGGACGCCAGAGUCACUCUGCCCACGCCGAGUGACAUUCUGGUGUCCUACUCAACUUUUCCUGGUUAUGUUUCUUGGAGAGACACCCAGUCUGGAUCCUGGUACAUUGAGACAAUGGACCGUAUCCUCGAGGAAAAUGCUGCCACAGAUGACUUAGUGACAAUGUUGAUGAUGGUGAACCACGAGGUCUCCCAAAACUCUGCAAAAGGGCUCUAUAAGCAAAUGCCUGGUUCCUUUAACUUCCUCCGCAAACUUCUCUACUUUCAAACCCAAACGUAGCCAAGGUUCAAAGUUCAGCUCGAUGAGUUUCUCACUUUUAGAUUCAGGUUCAAUGUUCAAUGUCUCUUUCAAUUACUGUAAUUUCUUGGGAUUGUGUCUCAGAAGAGUUUUGAGAUGUAUGAAUUUGCUAAAUCGUGGUUUUACAUUGAUAUUGUUUAUCAAGCCUUUCUGUGUUUUUAAUCAUUGAUAUCUUCUUUAUAUGAACUUCUUAAACAUAGGUGUCAUCUUGGAAAGAAAAUAUGUACUGUGAACAUGUGGCUCAGCUACAUGUUCCAUAAUCCAACCCAUGCUGUUCCACUACAGUUACUCUAAUGUAACACACACAGCUGGCCAGUGACAGGGUGAGUCAUUUUAUAAGGAGAAGGUCUAGCACCGAAACGUUGUAUUAAAUUGUUUGUUGCACUUCAGACAGUGCCGGGACUUUUUGAUUGCCACUCUGGAUCCACUCAUCCUGUUCCUACACACCUGCCUCCCUAAAUAGAUGUUUUGAAUUUCACCACCACACCACAUGUCUGAAUCCAGUAACAUUUACACACUGGAAGCACAACAACAGAACUGGGAGAACUGGGCUUGUGCUCACAGGUAGUUCCUACAUACUGGUGCAGUCCACAAGGGAAAGCAUGGGGGUUAAACAUCAAAGACAAUGAAAGAGAAAAACAAAAUAAAUAUAAAUAAAAAAUGUAUGUGUUAAAAUAAUCCCUUAAGGCCCAACAUUCAUCUUAACACACCAGCAGUGAUAUCACAUACACCUCCCUUAAAACUGCCAGGAAAUUUAUACCCAUAAUUUAUGUAUUACAUACACGUUGUUGGUGUUAUCAUUGAUUCUUUUUUUUAUGAUCAAUUAUUUGUUGCAUAAAUAAGCAAGUAACAACACAAAAUUAGAUAUUAUUGGAGGAAUGAAACAUGCAAAGUGUGCUAAUGAACGAAAGUUAUAGGCAUCACUGUUGCUUGUGCUACUGUUGAGGUUCAGUAUGUAACACUGAUGGCAAUCCUAAAAGAAAAGCUCCUGUACUUUUCUAGACUCCAGACUCCAGUAGAUGGUGUCUGUGACCCUCAGAUAUUUGUACUUUCUGUGAGUUUUUUGGUUCCCACCACGACCACCAGGGGUCUCCACUAACUUAGAAUCGGUUCCAUUUAAAUCACCUCAACAACACAAAGUGUUUGAAAUGCAGGUUCAUCUCUCACCUCUUAAACUACAAACAAUGAAAUCACUCUGACACAUACAUACAUACAUACAUGGCCGAAUAAAACAACACAUGGAAAUGGAGAAAAAAAAACAGUAUAUUUCAAAUAAAGUGCAAAGUACAAUAGGUGUGUGUCACAGAUGUUAGUGUAGCAUUAGUCUAGUCUCCAUGUUUGACAUCAGAUUUUCAUAUUGUAUGUUUGAAACAGUUAUUUCUCUUUUAACUCUUUUAUUUUGUAACCCCAAUUAUAAGUAUUUAUAAACACAAUAAUAAAUAAUGAUUAUUAGUUAUUAUUUAUGAUUAUAACUCCUUUUCGAUCU
Molecule: RNA transcript, 3016 nt
Organism: Seriola dumerili (greater amberjack)
Lineage: Eukaryota; Metazoa; Chordata; Actinopteri; Carangiformes; Carangidae
Gene: casp9
Gene name: caspase 9
Exons: 11
Source: RefSeq, a predicted model, not a curated record